RNAcentral lists this long non-coding RNA (704 nucleotides) under Phoenix dactylifera (date palm). RNAcentral describes it as "long non-coding RNA (PDAC_LNC017713)". The record is from RNAcentral. Lineage: Eukaryota; Viridiplantae; Streptophyta; Magnoliopsida; Arecales; Arecaceae.
ACUGUAAACAAGCGCUUCUUGGGAGGCAACCCAACCUCAAAAAAAAAAAAAAUCCUUUCUUUUGUCUUUUGUUAUAUGUUUUAAUUGUUGUUUUUAUUUAAGUCUUUGAAUAAUUAUUGUUGUGACCCCUUUCUUUUUGGUUAUGUUGUGUAGGUGCAGAAAAAUCAAGCAAGAAGCUAGUUCGUGUUCAAUUCGGUCGGACAUUCAUUUUGUUCAGCCUUGCUAAAAGGGGAGUAUUAGUCUUUCAUUUUUCUUUGCUUUCACAUUGAGGACAAUGUAAAAAUUAAGUUUGGGGGAGUGGAUAUUUGAUUAUGCUGAAUGCUGGUGCAGGUUAUGUUUGUUUGAGAAAGAAAUUUUUUUUAAAAUUCUGGUUUGUUCACUUUCAUGCAAGUUAAUUGGUGAUCAUAUCCAUGUCUUCCAAACUAAAUUUUUAUGUGAAAGAUUAGGAGAAAUGAACAAGCAUUUGCACUUGUGUGAGACUUAUCUAAGAUCAACAUUACACUUUUGGGUUCUUUAUUGUGUUUAAGCAUUGAAUUUUGAUUUAGGAUAGGCAAUAUCUUAUAAAGCAAGAGUAAGCAUAUUUGUUUUCCUUUGGGAUUAUUGAAGUACAUCUUUCCUUGCAAAGUUGUAUGAGUUGUGUGAUUAUGCAUAAAAGAUGAGCGUGAUGCUUUUCUUGUGAUUAUCCCCUUUGAUCUAGUGCUAAA